GACGAACGCUGGCGGCGUGCUUAACACAUGCAAGUCGAACGGAAAGGCCCUGCUUUUGUGGGGUGCUCGAGUGGCGAACGGGUGAGUAACACGUGAGUAACCUGCCCUUGACUUUGGGAUAACUUCAGGAAACUGGGGCUAAUACCGGAUAGGAGCUCCUGCUGCAUGGUGGGGGUUGGAAAGUUUCGGCGGUUGGGGAUGGACUCGCGGCUUAUCAGCUUGUUGGUGGGGUAGUGGCUUACCAAGGCUUUGACGGGUAGCCGGACUGAGAGGGUGACCGGCCACAUUGGGACUGAGAUACGGCCCAGACUCCUACGGGAGGCAGCAGUGGGGAAUAUUGCACAAUGGGCGGAAGCAUGAUGCAGCAACGCCGCGUGCGGGAUGACGGCCUUCGGGUUGUAAACCGCUUUCGCCUGUGACGAAGCGUGAGUGACGGUAAUGGGUAAAGAAGCACCGGCUAACUACGUG
This 468-nucleotide ribosomal RNA is filed under the name uncultured bacterium. Its description in RNAcentral is "partial 16S ribosomal RNA". It matches the Rfam family "Bacterial small subunit ribosomal RNA", at positions 28 to 507 of the family's 1533-position model. The record is from RNAcentral.